GUCUAGUGAUAAAAUAAUUGUGCACGUCCCCUUUAAGAGUUUGUUAGUAAUACACUGUCUAAAAACGUGGCUUUGCCCAGCAGGUUAGUUCAUUUCUUUGUGAUUGGCCCUUGUCCUUCUUAUUCCCGCCUCUGCAGGUAUACUGAGAAUUCUGAUUGGAUGAAGGGGUGGAGUUUAGAACUGCAGAUUGGUGUGAGAGGUUUGUUGUUUGUCUCCUGCGAGUUUUAAGGCUAAUAUAUAGAGUAAAUAACCACUGACAAAGUGUGUUAAAGCGUCUGUAUUUGGCUGACCGAGUGUUAUUACUACUUUUAUUUGUGUAUAUAAUGUGUACAAGAGUAAAGUUUACGACUUGUUUCUUCUGAGUCUGCUGCACAGAGCAGCCGAAGCUACGCUAAUUCUCGUGACUAUCUGACUGCUUUCCUACACUUUAGUUUAGUUAACGAUGUGACUGGGAGGAAUUCAUGGACCAGUUGGGACUUACCUCGGACGUGCUUUGGAGUAUCGUUGCUAUGGCGGUAAAGGAUUGUGCUGCUGUUCGGUAGAGGAGGGACUACAGAAAGAUCUACAGCUUCAGAGGAGGGAAUUUCGUGUUCCAGCCGCCUGGGAAGCCGUUCAGCCGACCAGAGUCCGCUCUUCCAGAACCAGAACCCAUGCAGGUGGAUCCUACUGGUCUCUCACUGUCAGAGCGUCAUGGAAGACUUACUCUAGGAUUGUGUCUAUACUGUGGAGCAUCGGGGCAUACCAUCAUCUCAUGCCCCAUUCGCCCACCACCACCACAUCUGCCGAUCAACAUGAAUAGACACCAGACAUACAGAACAUCUGCUGAGGUUCUGUUGUUGGUGUCUUCGAUGUUAGGAAACAUACCUGAGGCAGUUUUAUCAGAUAAAACACCUUUGCCAUUACUGCGGAGUUGUUUGAUGGCUCUAAUUUUGUUCAUGGCAUGCAAAGACCUGGACGUAGAAAAUUGAAUUUUCUGAAAUCAAAAUUUUUUCUUUUUGGGAAUUGCUGUCCUUAUUUUUAGUGUUUUUUUUUUGUUAUUGUUAAUUUUAUUAUGUUGUUGUUUAGUUCUUUUUUAAAUAAAAAAAAUAAAUGUUUACCUCUCACUGUUUAUUAUUUAGUUAGGUUUUUUUAUUUGUUGUAUAUUUUAAGUAUUGUUCUGUU
Molecule: long non-coding RNA, 1161 nt
Organism: Tachysurus vachellii
Lineage: Eukaryota; Metazoa; Chordata; Actinopteri; Siluriformes; Bagridae
Exons: 4
Source: RefSeq, a predicted model, not a curated record